Molecule: ribosomal RNA, 490 nt
Filed under: uncultured bacterium
Lineage: Bacteria
Description: partial 16S ribosomal RNA
Rfam family: Bacterial small subunit ribosomal RNA
Source: RNAcentral
AGCGAACGCUGGCGGUAGGCCUAACACAUGCAAGUCGAACGGCAGCACAGGAGUGCUUGCUCUCUGGGUGGCGAGUGGCGGACGGGUGAGGAGUACAUCGGAAUCUGCCCACUCGUGGGGGAUAACGUAGGGAAACUUACGCUAAUACCGCAUACGUCCUUCGGGGGAAAGGGGGGGAUCGCAAGACCUCUCUCGGUUGUGUGAUCCGAGGUCGGCUUAGAUAGUUGGCGGGGUAAUGGCCCACCAAGGCGACCAUCCGUAGCUGGUCUGAGAGGAUGAUCAGCCACACUGGAACUGAGACACGGUCCAGACUCCUACGGGAGGCAGCAGUGGGGAAUAUUGGACAACGGGCGCAAGCCUGAUCCAGCCAUACCGCGUGGGUGAAGAAGGCCUUCGGGUUGUAAAGACCUUUUGUUGGGAAAGAAAUCUUUCCGGCUAAUACCCUGGGAGAAUGACGGUACCCAAAGAAUAAGCACCGGCUAACUACGUG